GACCCAGCAGGAAGGCGCCAUCAUGAGAAAGGGGGCUCUCACAGGACACCAACUCUUGAUCUUGGACUUCUCAUCCUCCAGAACUGUGAGAAAUAAGUUUCUAUUAUUUAUAAGCCACCCAGUUUAUGGUGUUUAUAAAGAGCUGAGACAAACACCACUAAAUCUUGCCCUUAUAAUCCUGUUGAUAAUUACGCAAGAGUAAAUUUUGUUCUGGUCUCAACCAAAUGAUUAAAACUCCGAAUCAGUGGAAUCUGAACUCUGAGCCCUGCUUACAUCCUGCUGGCUGGGAUGGGGAAUGAGGCUGGGGUGAGCAGACACUUAGAAUAUGAGGACAAGAGAGGAGCAGCUGCUCUACCAGCCCUGCACUGCCCACCCAGAAUGCCACCAGGGAGAGAACUCAGCUUCUCUGUUGCUGAAGCCACAGACAUCUUGGGUCUCUGUUCUGUACAACUGAACUGCAUCCUGAUUGAUUUGGGAAUGAUGCCUAUUACCA
This 493-nucleotide long non-coding RNA is filed under the name Homo sapiens (human). RNAcentral describes it as "novel transcript, antisense to PLXNC1". Lineage: Eukaryota; Metazoa; Chordata; Mammalia; Primates; Hominidae. The record is from RNAcentral.